UCUGCCCAGCGCCCUGGGAUCCGGGGCCUGUGCUGCUGGAAUCGUGUUUCCGGGGCCAUGGCUCCUGAAGGCAGUGGGGUGUAGCCUCCACUCCUGGAGCUGCCGCCUAACCCACUGGCUUCUCCCUGAGGCCCUGCCAGGUGAGUGCUCCAGCCCUUUACCCCUUUGGGCCCACAGUCUGUGGUGCACUCUCCCCUGGGGUGUGCACUUCCUCUGUUAGUGACUCCAGGAGACUGGAGACUCCACUGCCCCUCCUGUGAUUCUGCUCAAUUUCCCUGCUUAGUUAGCCUGUCUGGGAAGAAUCCAGUGUGGAUUUUUAAAGUUCUGCUCUCCGAGGCUGGGCUUUCCUGUCCCAGAGGCUUUCACUGCCCAGCCUUAGCAUGGCUCCUCAGGGGCCCUCUCCCCCACUUGAUCCUUUAACAUCCCCCCCCCCCCUUCCUACCUUGUUAGAAGCAAAAACCUUUCUCUCUGUAGUGUUCCAGCUGUUCUCUCUUUAAAUCUCAGGUCAAAUUCGUAGGUGUUCAGGAUGGUUUGAAAGUUAUCUAGGUAAGUUGGUGGGGCUGGGUGAGUUAAGGACCCCUACUCCUCCACCAUCUUGCCCUGCCUCCCUAUAAGUAACACUUAAACCCAAUUGUUAAAGAUGGAAAUAAAGAGAUGUGCAAGAAGAUACCAUACAAAGAUCAAAAGAGGAAUGGCAAUAUUGAUAUCAGGUUAGUUGAAACUUUGGUUGAAAGCACUCAGCAUUAUUAUAGCAAACAUUAUGAAUUGGUAAAAUCUUGCAUUUAUGAAGGAGGAUAUGGUGGUGAAGAUGGGUAGUUACCAGAUCACUCUCUCAAGAAAAGAAUUAGAAAUGUGUGUGAAUUUUAAUGAAUUUCGGUCAAAGAACACUGCCUACCAAAGCCUAUAGAGCACAAUGCAAACUAUAUGUAAGGGAAAAAAUCUAUAGAAUUAAAUGUAUUCAAUAUUAAAACAAAUUUAAAAAAUUCUCCAUACCUGCAUAUUCAAUUGAAAAGAUUUUUAGCAAUUGAAAAAAAUUUUUUAGUAAGGGGCGGGGUAAGAUGGCAGAGGAGGAGUAGGGUCCCCAAGUCAUCUGUCCCUACCAACUUACCUAGAUAACUUUCAAAUCAUCCUGAAAACUUAUGAAUUUGACCUGAGAUUUAUUAAUUUAUUUUUUGUAAAGAUUUUAUUUAUUCACAAGAGACACAGAGAGAGAGACACAGAGACACAGGCAGAGGGAGAAGCAGGUGCAUGCAGGGAGCCUGACGUGGGACUCGAUCCUAGGUCCAGGAUCAGGCCCUGGGUUCAAGGUUGGCACUAAACCGCUGAGCCACCUGGGCUGCCCUCGACCUGAGAUUUAAAGAGAGAACAGCUGGAAUGCUACAGAGAGAAGAGUUUGAGCUUCUAACAAGUACAACUCGUUUUUAGUCACUCUGGACUGAGCAAAAUGACUAGAAAGAAGAACUUAACCACGAAAAAAUUUUUUAAAAGAAAUUGUAAGAUACACAUGCCAUAAGUUUUACCAUCUUGACCAUUUUUUAGUGUACUGUUCAGUAGUGUUAAGUACAUUCACAUUGUGCAAUCAAUUUCUAGAACUCCUUUUAUCUCCCCCAGCCUCUUGCAGCCACCAUUUACUUUUCAGUCUCUGAACUCGACUACGCAAAGUACCUCAUUUAGGUGGGAUCAUCUUACUACAUCUAGCUUAUUUCAUUUAGUAUAAUGUUCUCAAGGUUCAUCAAUGUAGUAUCAUAUUUCGGAAUAUUUUAAAAAAGAUUUUGAGAGAGAGCACAAAUCGGGGAGUGGGGGCAAGCUGACUUCCUGCUAAUCAGGGAGCCCUGUGUGGGGCUCAAUCCCAGAACCCUGGGAUCUUGACCUGAGGUGAAGGUAGACGCUUAACCAACUGAGCCACCCAGGUGCCCCUGGAAUUUAUUAUUAUUUUUUUAAGAAUUUCUUUUUAAGAUGGAAUAUUUCAUUAAAUGUUUUAGACAUACACCCUCCCCUGACAUUUGUUUAUCCUUUUAUCCCUUGAUGAGUACUUGGAUUGUGGCUAUUGUGAAUACUACUAAGAAUAUGAGUGUACAAAUAUCUCUUUAAGAUCCUGCCUUUAGUUCUUUUCUGGAAUUUUUAAAAUUCCAGCGGUGACAUUGUUGGGAGUAUUAAAAUCCUAUUUUUAAUUUUUUGAGGAAUCACCGUUUUGUGUUUUUCUUUUUUUUAAUUUAAGAUUUUAUUUAUUAGAGCCAGAGCCAGAGAGAGAGAGAGAGAGAGAGAAACAAGGAGAGAGACAGACAGGCAGAGGGAGAAGCAGGCUCCAUGCAGGGAGCCGGAUGCGGGACUUGAUCCUGGCUCUCCAGGAUCACGCCCUUGGCUGAAAGCGGCGCUAAACCGCUAAGGCACUGGGACUGCUCACCAUUCUGUUUUCUAUAUGUGCUGUACCAUUUUACAUUCCCUCCAGUAGUACACAAGCACUCCAAUUUCUCCACAUCCUGGCCAAUACUUUUGAUGGUAGCCAUCCUAAGAGUUUUGAGAUAUACUAUCUCAUUAUAGCUGUGAUUUCCAGUUUCCUAAUGAUUUGAUGAUGUUGAACAUAUUUUCAUGUGCUUAGUGAGUUUAUCUGGAGAAAUGUAUAUUCAAGUCCUGUGCUUUAUAUCCAAUUCUAAGCAUUUAGGAUACCUAUAAACUGAAAUAAACCUACAAGAAGGAAUUAAUAGUUAAAAGGUGAAAUUAAUGGAAAACACAAAGUAGAAAAGAUACAUAAAUCUAAAUCCCAGUUCUUUGAGAAGACUAACAAAAUGAAGAUCUCCUUCAUGAUACUGAUGAAAAAAGAAUAAAAGUAGUAGUGGAAACAAAAAAGAUGCAGUCACAUACACAGAAGAGUCUUAAUUGUAAGAAAAGAGUACUACAAGUUUAUUGUAACAAAAUCACAGAUUAAAGAUUUCAAAAUUAAGAGGAAUCAUUUUCUGGCUGAUUAGAAAUGAUCAGAAUCAACCUUUAGGAAGUGGAAAACUUGCAUACACCUUUGAGUAUAUAGAUUUGAUCAAAAUGAUUUUAAAGUAUAUGUGAAAGAAUAAAUGCCUGAAACAUGGUCAAGAACAGAAUCAAAAGGAUUGAAGAAGAGUUUGCCAUUUUUGUAUAAAAGCAUGUACUUUAUCUGUAUAGUUUUAGUGCUGGAAUAGUAAAAAACAGGUCAAAGGAAGACAGGUUUAGAUAGAAGCAUAUAUGAAAAUGUAGUAUAUAUCAGUGAUGGUGGUAUAACCACCCAUCUGGAAGAAAAUCAAAUUAGGUACUUAAAAAUAUUUUAAAAAUCUUAUGAGCAAAUUCUAGAUUGAAAAAUUACAUGUUAAAAGACAGCAGUUAUAUGGGAUGAUCUCAGAGACCUAUGUAUGAAGUAGGAUAAAAUAGGGAGAUCUUUUUAUUUUUUAAAAUUCCAGUUAACACAGUAUUCUGUUAGGGUUAGAUGUACAGUACAAGGAUGCAUAUAUCACCUAGUGCUCAUUGCAGCAGUGCAUGUCUUAAUCUGCAUUGCCUAUUUAACCCACCUUCCACCUCCCUUCUGGUAACCAUUAUUUCUCUAAUGUUAUGUGUCUGUGUCUUGGAUUGCCUUUCUCCCUUUUUUUUUCCCCUUUUUGCUCAUUUGUUUUGUUUCUUAAAUUCACCAUAUGAGUGAAAUCAUAUGGUAUUUGCCUCUUUUGCUUAGCAUUAUACUUUUUGUUGCAAAUGACAGGAUUUAAUUCUUUUUUUAUGGCUGAAUAAUAUUUCAUUAUGUAUAUAACUGCUUCAUGAAUUGAUGGACACUUGGGCUGUUUCUAGAAUUUGGCUAUUAUACAUAUUGCAGUAAACAUAGGGGUGCAUGUAUCCCUUUGAGUUAGUGGGGUUUUUUUUGUAUUCUUUGGUA
Molecule: long non-coding RNA, 3889 nt
Filed under: Canis lupus familiaris (dog)
Lineage: Eukaryota; Metazoa; Chordata; Mammalia; Carnivora; Canidae
Description: lncRNA (ENSCAFG00000053152.1)
Source: RNAcentral